GAUACCCUGGUAGUCCACGCAGUAAACGAUGAAUACUAAUUGUCCGCGUAGAUAGAUGCCUGGGUGAUACAGCGAAAGCGUUAAGUAUUCCACCUGGGGAGUACGCCGGCAACGGUGAAACUCAAAGGAAUUGACGGGGGCCCGCACAAGCGGAGGAACAUGUGGUUUAAUUCGAUGAUACGCGAGGAACCUUACCCGGGCUCAAACGCGGCGUGAAUACUUUUGAAAGGAGGUAGUCAGCAAUGACACGCCGCGAGGUGCUGCAUGGUUGUCGUCAGCUCGUGCCGUGAGGUGUCGGCUUAAGUGCCAUAACGAGCGCAACCCCUACCGUCAGUUGCCAGCAGGUUAGGCUGGGGACUCUGACGGGACUGCCGGCGCAAGCUGCGAGGAAGGCGGGGAUGACGUCAAAUCAGCACGGCCCUUACGUCCGGGGCGACACACGUGUUACAACGGCAGGUACAGCGGGAAGCCACCUGGCGACAGGGCGCGGAACCCCGAAAACCUGUCUCAGUUCGGAUGGGAGUCUGCAACCCGACUUCAUGAAGCUGGAUUCGCUAGUAAUCGCGCAUCA
This 571-nucleotide ribosomal RNA is filed under the name uncultured bacterium. RNAcentral's name for it is "bacterial SSU rRNA". It matches the Rfam family "Bacterial small subunit ribosomal RNA", at positions 781 to 1351 of the family's 1533-position model. The record is from RNAcentral.